This is a long non-coding RNA of Gopherus evgoodei (Goodes thornscrub tortoise), 120 nucleotides long. RefSeq lists it as uncharacterized. The transcript has 3 exons. Lineage: Eukaryota; Metazoa; Chordata; Testudines; Testudinidae. The record is from RefSeq and is a predicted model, not a curated record.
CUGGAAUACUGUAUCUGGUUCUGGAGCCCACAAUUCAAGAAGGAUGUUGAUUAAUUGGUAGAGCUCAGAGAAGAACCAGAGAAUGACUAAACGAUUAGAAAACAUGCCGUAGAGUCACAG